Molecule: long non-coding RNA, 1100 nt
Filed under: Cricetulus griseus (Chinese hamster)
Lineage: Eukaryota; Metazoa; Chordata; Mammalia; Rodentia; Cricetidae
Description: lncRNA (ENSCGRG00015043457.1)
Source: RNAcentral
UAUUUUGUCAUGGCUGACUAAUGCAGUGAAUGGAUACUUUAUGAAAUCAUUUUUCUGUCUUCGGUGGAACUUCACUGAAUAGCUCCUAGGCAUCCGUGGGACUUGGCAUGUCCAGGCUGCGCCACCUCCAGAGGUGAUGAAGAUACCAGACCUCUAGCCUGUCUGCAGAGUCUCCAUCCAAGAAAAAUGAAAUCACCUACUCUCCCAAAGAAAAAUCCAAGCCCAGUGUGGUAACACCUCACAGAAGGCCACUGCACCACUCCUGGCCAGCAUAGCCAUGGGGAAUCUACCAUCUUUUUCGUUGUGUGUGAGGUUGUGGCUGGAGACGUCAGUUCAGGCAUUUUGCAAAUGCCCCCAGCCCCUGAAUCAUCACUGUGAGGGAGGCACAUGCUUUACUAAGAACUUGCUGCUCUCCUCCAACCCAAUCUGCUCUACUUGGGGGAGCCAAGUGUCUGCAUCCAGGUACUUGCAGGCAGCACUUUCUCUACAUUGGAUGCCAAGAGUGACAGCAAAUGGCUUUCAAUAACUGAGUGCAGACAUCACACCUGUGUCACUUCUGAAGCCUGCCAGAUAUAUGGGGGCCCAGACUAUCUCAGAAGGAGCCUCACAUGCCUUGCCUGUCAGUUCUGCCAGAUGUGAGAGGAGAGUUGGCCUCCAGCCCUUCCUGCUGUGACUUCAUCACAUCGGGUAAGACCUUCUUGUGGAUCCCAGGCCCUCCAAGUGCUGGCACUAUUCCCACUGGAAAAAUGGAAAGAGCACCUAUGUCCCCAGAGUCAUUCUGUCAAUCCUGAAGAACUUGCCAAGCCUUGCAGCUGCUUGGAUGACAAUGGCUAAAGCCCAGGGCUACACAGGCUGCUGCUUUGUCACAUAAACGACACUGCCUUGAGGUGGACAUAGACUAUGGAGGUCAAUUCCUUGUGUGACAAAGGCAAGCUUUCAGUUGCAUAUAAAGUUCUUCAUGAGAAAAUGACAAGUGCUUCUGUGUGCUUGCUGUCUAUCUUCUUUUCCACACCUGGGAACUGAGGCAGUAAGGGCCCUAGACAUUGGCUUGGGGGUCUUGGGUUGUGACACCACCCUGGAAGACUGUCGCUACAGCUUUG